GUUUGAAAGAUUAGGUAUAUUUAGAGAGAUUUUAUGGUGAAGUAGGUCAAAAGGGAUCGGGUUAGACUCAAAUGUAUAAUCAUAUGCAAUUUGAACUAGAGAUAAUCCUUAAUAGCUUGUUCAAUUCUAAUCUGAAGUUCGAAGACAACUUGAUCUAGAGGGUGACUCUAAACAGGGCUAGGUUCUUUAUGAGGAGAUGUUGGGGGUGAAGAUUGAGAUGGUG
RNAcentral lists this long non-coding RNA (223 nucleotides) under Lathyrus oleraceus (garden pea). RNAcentral's name for it is "Pisum sativum (pea) long non-coding RNA (PSAT_LNC019834)". Lineage: Eukaryota; Viridiplantae; Streptophyta; Magnoliopsida; Fabales; Fabaceae. The record is from RNAcentral.